Molecule: ribosomal RNA, 497 nt
Filed under: uncultured bacterium
Lineage: Bacteria
Description: partial 16S ribosomal RNA
Rfam family: Bacterial small subunit ribosomal RNA
Source: RNAcentral
GAUGAACGCUGGCGGCGUGCCUAAUACAUGCAAGUCGAGCGAACAGAUGAGGAGCUUGCUCCUCUGACGUUAGCGGCGGACGGGUGAGUAACACGUGGAUAACCUACCUAUAAGACUGGGAUAACUUCGGGAAACCGGAGCUAAUACCGGAUAAUAUAUUGAACCGCGUGGUUCAAUAGUGAAAGACGGUUUUGCUGUCACUUAUAGAUGGAUCCGCGCCGCAUUAGCUAGUUGGUAAGGUAACGGCUUACCAAGGCAACGAUGCGUAGCCGACCUGAGAGGGUGAUCGGCCACACUGGAACUGAGACACGGUCCAGACUCCUACGGGAGGCAGCAAUAGGGAAUCUUCCGCAAUGGGCGAAAGCCCGACGGAGCAACGCCGCGUGAGUGAUGAAGGUCUUCGGAUCGUAAAACUCUGUUAUUAGGGAAGAACAAAUGUGUAAGUAACUAUGCACGUCUUGACGGUACCUAAUCAGAAAGCCACGGCUAACUACGUG